Molecule: long non-coding RNA, 1597 nt
Filed under: Apteryx owenii (little spotted kiwi)
Lineage: Eukaryota; Metazoa; Chordata; Aves; Apterygiformes; Apterygidae
Description: lncRNA (ENSAOWG00000008787.1)
Source: RNAcentral
AUGAGAUGCAGAGAACAGAACUGUGUACAGUACUCAGGAUGCGGGUUCACCACGGUUUUCUGGAGAGAUGAAAUGCAAGCGGGCUUCAGGCAUGCUGAUAUGGGGGGAGCCCCACACAUUUGGCAGGGCGUCUGUCAGCUAACAAAGACGAUGGAACAGCCUAUCCACAUAGGAGAGCUGAUAUAUGGCUUACCUCCAACAAUCAGUAUUACUGUGGUGUAUUGUGUUUCACUGGCAGCAAUAUAUUCAAGAAGAACAUGAGAACUCCUGCACUCCUGGAGACCACAGGAUCCAUGCUCUGGGCUGGUCAUUUUAGGCCUGGUCAUUUAGGUGCAGAGUAUUCUUUCUAGUCACAUGCCCUGCGUGAGCCUCUCCUUCAGCUGUUUUCCCAAGGUUUUGGAAAUGCUUCUGGUAAAUACUGCAGUUUCCAAAACUUUUCACUGUGUCCUUGCUGGUAUGGGAUACCAUUAUAGCAGGGAGAGGCAGCCUACGUAUGUGGAAGGAACAUUGUGGCACAGAGACAUUACCUCUUUGGCCCACCUAAUCCAUUUGAGAGUUUUAUUUUUGACCUGAAGAUUGGGUCUUUGAGUGCCAUACACAGCAUGCAUUGCUUUCCCCAUUCUUUUCACAAGAUCAUCGCCGUUCUUCAGUUGUUUCUUCUGAGGGGGGAGUUGCUGCAGGAACUGCUGGGGAGGCCCUGACAGUGGGACAUGAAAAAGACACCUUUGACUACAUCCAGCAGAAGAAGUUUAAGCCGAAGGAUCAGAGUAAAUAACUGCUUGUCUAGGCUUGUUUCCCAGCAACACAUUGUCAGAAUUUUUUUUAAUGAACAAUCCUACUUGAUCAAGUGCCUAUUCAUUCCGUGAAUAUUAGUGCAAAAACAUGUACAUUACCGAUCCUUUAAAGCAAGUCCAUGGCACUGGGGUAGCGUGCGUAGUGAAGACUAAAUCCCGUAAUAACUCAUUUUGAUGUUGUUCUCUUAAGUGAAAGCACUUAAGGCAGAUUAAAACAUUUAUCAUACUCUUUUGUUUGUUGAAUGGACCAUGAUACUAAGAAAAACCUGCAGUGAAGGAGACAUAGUAGCCAUUUUCCUUAGAGAAGGUGUCUUGUCCUGUACUUUAGGACUUACUGUGCAUUUUGAGAGAGAGUAGCAAAUGACAGGUCUCCUUUUAACCCCCGGGGAGCAGAAAGUUGUGACUUGAAGGCAAAAUGUUUCUUGCAGCUGGGUUAGAAGAAGCUGGCUACCAAUCAAAAGUAAUGACAAUUCUGUGGAGUCCCUGGAAGUUUUGAAAAGACCGUAUUUACCUUUUAUAAAAGGCUAUGCACUUUCAUUACUAAUGCCUGUAGUAAUCGAGCCAGGUAAGUGGUACAUAGGUGGUCGAGCCAUUAGUCUUUUUUCACAUAGUAAUAGCCUUUAGGCUGUGAUCACUGUUAGAAAAGUCCAGCUAUUUUAAAAAUGGAACAAGCCUUUUUAGCUUGUUUCCUGUAGUACCACAAAAGGUGAUCAGAAUACUAAUGUUUUCGUGCUUUAAUGUGGUAGACGUACUCUGUGCCAACAUCUCUUACUGUUUAAUAAUAAAAACUGAGCAGUCCAUCA